CACAGUUACUCCCAUAGGCAACUGACAGUUGAAAUUCUUGGAAUAUCAGAAAAUGAAUGAGCUAUAGAAUGGGAGCAAGUGAGGUUGCCUCUGUGAACGCUGGUGGGCUUUUUAAUACUGGCCUGUGGCUCUGCCCUCAGAGCAGGGAAGCUCCUCCUCUUGCUGGUUCCCCUUUCGGAUGUUUCCUCCCCAGCUGAAGAGGCCGGCAGGCAGCCAGGAUGGGACACAGCUCACAGGACCCCCACCUCUGCUGGACCACCAGGCUCCUGGGAGUCAUUAGCCUGCUCUGAAGUGGGAGUCUGGCCAGGCUGGCUGUCCAACCCUGGGCGAGCCAGAAGUCUCAGCUGUGCUCAGCCACUCCAAGGACUCUGUCCCUGCAGGCGGGACAGUUGGAGGAUGAGACUCCAUCAGCUGCUCAGGCCCUGGAGGGACC
Marmota flaviventris (yellow-bellied marmot) is the source of this 433-nucleotide non-coding RNA. The record is from RefSeq and is a predicted model, not a curated record. NCBI's taxonomy places the organism in Eukaryota, Metazoa, Chordata, Mammalia, Rodentia, Sciuridae.